CGGGUGAGUAACACGUGGAUAACCUACCUAUAAGACUGGGAUAACUUCGGGAAACCGGAGCUAAUACCGGAUAAUAUAUUGAACCGCAUGGUUCAAUAGUGAAAGACGGUUUUGCUGUCACUUAUAGAUGGAUCCGCGCCGCAUUAGCUAGUUGAUAAGGUAACGGCUUACCAAGGCAACGAUGCGUAGCCGACCUGAGAGGGUGAUCGGCCACACUGGAACUGAGACACGGUCCAGACUCCUACGGGAGGCAGCAGCC
RNAcentral lists this ribosomal RNA (259 nucleotides) under uncultured Staphylococcus sp. RNAcentral describes it as "partial 16S ribosomal RNA". It matches the Rfam family "Bacterial small subunit ribosomal RNA", at positions 103 to 355 of the family's 1533-position model. The record is from RNAcentral. Lineage: Bacteria; Bacillati; Bacillota; Bacilli; Caryophanales; Staphylococcaceae.